UCUCCUUAAGCUCCUGAUCACACUGACUCCAAACACUCCUCGACGUUGUCCGUCUCGAACUGACAUUCACUAAAGCUGUGAACUCUGCCACUUUGCCAAAUCCUGGAACUAGGUAGCCAUUCCUGCGGAUGGCUACUCCGGAGGGAUCAUAAUUCUUUGGCUCAAACACUUAGGCAGAAUUUCUCCGGUGGCCCAUUCUCACCGAGUUCUUCACUUAAUUUUUUCUUCUUCUACAGACCAUCGUUGGAUCAUUUUGGUGGUAUAUAAUGCCCAACAUAUUAAGCUGCAGAAAAAACUCUGGAAGGAACUAUCGUUGAUCCCAAAACUGAAUUUACCUUAGAUUGUGCUAGUUAUUCGGGUGCUACUUUUUCUUGAUGCAAUGGACAUCGUGGGCUAGCACGAUGUUGGGUACGUCUUGACAAAUGUCUGGUUAAUGACCUAUGGUUAGCUUGCUCUAACACUGUUCAUAUUAGGUAUUUUCCUAAGCUCUUUUCAGAUCAUUCGCCUGUGCUUAUCAACAUUGUUAAAGAUAAUUUUACUGCUCAUAACAACUUCCGUUUUGAGAAUUACUGGUUGGAGCAUGCUAGUUAUAUUUUUGAAAUUCGUAAAGCCUUAUCUGGUAAUGCUCACUGUAAUCCUAAGCAUGCUUUCUAUCAUGUUUUGGCUCAGAUUAAGAGUGGUGUAUGUUCUAUUAGACAAUAUGGUUUGGGUGCUCUUGAUAGAGAAAUUAAAAACAUUGAAGUUCAGCUCCAGGCUCUUGAGAUCGAUGAUAGGUUAAGCUCUAAUGUAGACCUGGAUUCUUUUAGGAGAUUACAGAACAAAUACAGAGCUUUGUUGAGACAAAAUCACAGUAGGUGGGCUCAAAAGUCUAGAUUAAAUUGGAUUAUGGGUGAGGAUAUGAAUUAUUCUUUUUUUCACAGAAGUGUAAGGAUUCGUAGAUACCAAAAUUCAAUUUCUAAUCUCUAUGAUAAUAAUGGCAGGUGCUUUAAUGUUUCUCACCAAAUUGAUCUUAUUCUUGUGGAACACUUUUCAAAACUUUGGAAAAAUCUUAAUUCUAGGCCUCUAGAUUGGUUUUGGAUGCUCUUCCUUCUAAUCUUCCUACUCUCUCCACUGUACAACAAACCUCUUUGACUAGGCCUGUGUCCAAAGAUGAGAUUUACCUUACUCUUCUAUCUUUAGCUGAGGGAAAAUCUUUGGGUCCUGAUGGCAUGAAUGUAGAGUUCUACAAACUUUUCUGGACUGAUAUUGAGAAACAUUUAGUUCCUGCCAUUAAUUAUUUUCUCGACAAUGUUGUGAUGCCAAGAGCCUAGGGUAGAACUUACAUCACUUUAAUUCUUAAGAAAGAGCACCCCAAAUAUGCUUCGGACUUCCGUCCUAUUUCUCUGUGUAAUGUUGCUUAUAAGAUUAUUACUAAGAUUCUUGCUAAUCGUAUUAAGGAUGUGAUUACUUGCUUGGUUGGUGAAGAGCAAUGUGGAUUUGUGCCUGGUCGUUCUCCUGUUGACAAUAUCAUUGCAGUUUAGAAAUUAAUUCACUCUAUUAAUCAGGAGAGGACCAUCCCUCCUAGGAUGUUAGUAAAAGUGGACAUUAAGAAGGCUUAUAACACUCUUAAUUGGAAUAUUAUUUUGGCCACUCUUAUCACAAUGAACUUUCCUAGCAACUGAGUAUCUUAUGUUAGAGCUUGUCUUGAAGCUACUUCUUUUUCAAUUCGUAUCGAUGGUAAACCCUCUGAUUGGUUUCGGCCCUCUCAGGGUGUUAGGCAAGGCAAUCCUCUUUCCCCUUACCUUUAUCCUGGUGGCCCAGAACCUUAUUGCUAUUUUAAACCAUGCUAGAUUUCUUGGGUUUAUUCCAGGUUUUUCAAACUUGAAUCAUAACUUUAACCACCUAAUGUAUGCCGAUGAUCUUAUUCUGGUUACAACUGCGUCUAGAAAACAUGCCAGAAACAUCAGGUUUUGCUCAAACCUGUAUGCUCAGCUUUCUGGUCAAUAUCCCAAUCAGAAGAAAUCUGAGAUUUAUUUCCCAAAUUGGUUUAACAAACAGGUUCCUUCUAGAAUCUGCAAUAUCUUAAACUUUAAUCAUGGCAAAACUCCUUUCACCUAUUUAGGGGUUCUUAACUCUCCUAAUCGGCUUACCAUCUCUCAUUUUGAUUCCAUGGUUAAUUGCCUUAAUGCGGCAGUUAUAGAGUGGGGUAAGGCUAAUUAUCUAAAGCUGGCAAAUCAGUUCUCAUUAACAGCAUUCUAAUGGCUACCCCUACCUACUAUCUCUCGGUCUAUCCCAUUCCUGACUCUAUUCUUAAUAAGCUUUCCAGAAUUGCUAGGAAGUUCUUGCGGGCAAAUUAUGAUCAUAAUAAUGGCAUGCCUUUGGUGAAUUAGGACACCAUUACUUCUAGAAAAUCUGAGGGGGGAUUAGGCAUUAGAAACCUGCUCAAGAUUAAGCAUUCCUUGAUGGUAAAAAAUCUUAUCAAUUUUCUUAACAAGCAAAAAUCUCUGGGUUGAUAUUCCUUACAUGAAAUAUGGUGAUCAUAAUUUCUGGACUAUGAAACCCCUCCAAAUUGCUCGGCUUUUUUCAAAAGUUUGUGUAGUAAUGCUGAUGUUUUAAAACCUUUUUUGUGGAUCAAUUGUCUUAAUCCAGCAGUUACUUCUUUUCAUUACCAUCCGUGGUUGUUUGAUAUUCCCAUUGCUUACAAGGCUGUUUUUCUUAAUAUGAACCUCAAUGUGGAUGAUAUUCGAAUGAAUGAUCUGUUUGAUAAUUCUUCAUGGAAUGUGAAUGCUCUCAACCUUUUGUUUGGCACCAAUUGGAACUCGCCUACCAUAACUCAUGGGAAGAUUAAUAAUGAGGAAGACAAUCACUAGAUAUGGUUUCCAACCUCGAAAGGUAACAACCUUUCAUCUAACAUUUACAAGUUCCUAAAUAGCAGUCUUUCGAAGGAUCAAGAGUGGAAUGGCUGGGCUAAUAUUUGGAAGCUAAAUGUUGCUCCUAGAGCCAAAACUUUUAUUUGGUUUUUGGCUCAUGGUAAGAUCAAAAAAUUUAUGAGUAUUUGUAUCAGCUAAAUCUUGGUCCUCCUGAUCCAUGUGUGUUCUGUGGAUUGGUUUUGGAAUCAUCUAAUCAUCCUUUUACACAAUGUCAAAUUAGUGCCAGAAUCUGGAGGAUGGAGGAAUGUCUUGCUAACAUUAAGAUCAACUUGGUGGAUCUUAUUACCAAAGGCCAGUGGUUAGACUUCCAUUUUCAGGGUAAUUCAAAAUUUUUGGCUUCAAUUAUUGCAGCUUCAUUGUGGCGGAUCUAGAAAUGCAGGUGUAAUUGUAUUUUUAGACAGGAAAGUCCUGAUAUUUUUAAGACUGCUAAUUUGGUUGUGCUUCAUGUGCAAGAAUUCUCUAGUUCUCCUACCUUCAAAAUGCAGAACUAUCUCAUGCAAAACAGACCAAAACCAGGUUUUAUGGGCAUUUUCUCAGCUGCUGCUUGGAAUGAAGUUACAGGUAAAGGUGGUCUAGGUUUCAUCUUAAUUGGUACUAAUGCCAAGGUUUGCUAUGCAGGAUCAUAUCCAAGUAUGUUUGCUGACAUUCUGGAAAUAGAAACAAGGGCUCUUUGUCUAGCUCUUCUACACUCCAAAGACGCAAGGGAGAAAUGCUCAAACAUAUAUAUCGGCUCAACUAUUCUUUGAAAGACGAUCCAUCACAUGGAGGAGUUGGUCUAUUGGCGUCAACAGGAAUAUGUUGAUCACUUGAGGGAGCUACUGCAACAUUUGAAUCAUCCUCAACUAGAACUCAUCCCUCAUCAGUGAAACCGAAUUGCUACAGUUUUAGCGGGUCAUGGAAUUCAUUCGACGCACUUAUUUCUAUUCCAUAUGGGUAUGGAGAAACUGAAUUGGCUAAUGAAGCUAAUCAACCAAGCUGGUUGCACCUGAUUUUCCUACCUUAAUCAUUUGUCUUAGUAGCUUAGAGUCUUGUUCACUAUGUAUUUUUGCUUUUUUGCUUUUGUUUUCAGUUUUUC
This is a long non-coding RNA of Dioscorea cayenensis subsp. rotundata (Guinea yam), 3984 nucleotides long. RefSeq lists it as uncharacterized. The transcript is spliced from 3 exons. The record is from RefSeq and is a predicted model, not a curated record. Lineage: Eukaryota; Viridiplantae; Streptophyta; Magnoliopsida; Dioscoreales; Dioscoreaceae.